AAAAUAAGAACCAAGAUCUAUCAUGUACAGGUACAGACACCCACUGAUAAAUGUAAACGAAUUGUAUACCUAAAGUGUACCAAUAAAAGAACUAAAAAAAAAAAGUCAGUGACUUCAAGAUUCCAUAGAGCAUUACCAGGAUAUAGUGAACACAAGGAGGGACAGAUUUAGAGGAAGAAAAAAUGAAUUUGGGUCAUACUAAAAUUAAGACUAAUAUUUGUAAAUAUUUAGAUAGAAAUAUCUAUUAUUGGAAAUAUGUUUGUCUAAAGUUUGGAAGAGGUGGAUUUGAGUAUUGUCUAUAUGGAAGUGAUUGGAAACAUAGGAGUGUAUAAAAUUCUGAGAGUGAAAAGAUACGAUCAAGACAAGAUGAAGUGUUGACACACAUUGUAGAAAGGCAUCAAUGGGGAGAACAUUAUCCCCAAAAGAAAGAAAAACUAUCUGAAAAAAAUGCCUGUAAAAUAUAGAGAACUGAUGUAUAUGGCCAGUGUGGCAGAGCACAGAGGUAAAGGCGGAAAGAUGAACCUGGAUGGGUCAUCAGAGGUGAGUUCAUAGAAACUUUGUAGGCAGGGAUCAGGAUGCUUGGUCCUUCUCUUAAGAAUAAUGUGAAGCUAUUUAAUACGUAUAGUCAUAAUUAAAUUUGCAUUUUUAAAUGAUCACUCUAGCUGUAACGUGGAGAAUAAUUUAGAGAGAGGUCUGGCCAAAAAUGGUGAUGAGAGAUACUAAUCUGAUAUAGCAUGGUGACAGUGUAGUUGAAGAGAUUUGAGGAUUUCAGCAACCUUAGUAUGGAUCAAAUAUGGAUGGUGAAGGAGAGGCAAGUGUCACAGAAUAGGUCUCAUUUUCUGCCUUUGGUUGUUGCUUGAAUGGAUAGUGGUCCCCUUGAACGGGAUAGAAAAGAAAUCCAUUGUUGGAGAUGAGUGGAAAGGUGGCAGUCAGAAUCCACAAUUGAGAAGAAAGCUGUGCGUACAAGUCUGCUGCCCAGCAGAGAGCUCUGAGGUGAAGAUGGUAGCUUAGACAUGGUCAGCACGCGGUUAGUAGUUGAGGCCAUGGAGUGAAUGAGAUUGAUUAGGGAGAGAGAACACAGCCAGAAGCAAACAAGACCAGUCUAGAGCUACAAGAUUAAUGACUAUAAUAAGCUUACAGAACACAAGCAUUUAACUGUCAAAUUGAGGAGAGUGAGCCAGUAAAAGAGUGGGAGAAAAGAGUUGAUGAGAGAAGUAGAAAGGACAUCAGGAUAAUCCAGUGUUAUAGAAACCAAGGAAAAGGGUUCAAAGAGAAACAAGUAAAUAGCUUUGGGUGAUGUUAAAUGACGAACAACAAUAAAGACUAAAAAUGUUGGUUGUAAAAAAUUAAUAUAAUCCUAUGGCAACAAUUUACCAUAAUAGAUUAAAUUACAAAACUGAAAUCUGAACUCAACUUUUUAAUAAGAAUGUGUGACUGAUAGUGUUUCUUGUUGUACAUGCUUUGCAAAUGCUGAAAGGAGUCCCUGUUAAUGACUGGGGAACUGAAACUUGGUAGCAUUCCAAGAAGCUUUCGUAAGAAGCCAUGACUCAGCCAUCUGGAGAGUGCUCCAGAGAUUUCCAAACCCGUAGCCUCCUGACUUCCCCCCUUCCUACAAUCUCCACCCAAAAAAGACCAGGAAGUGCUGCUAAAUGAUAUGAUUAAAGUCAUAUAGGAAAAUGACAAAUCAUUCAUCAAGAACCACAACCCGAAGUUACAGGGGUGAUAAAAUGGAGCUGAAAGCCAAAUAAUCCAGUCCCGGUCAUGCAGUUAACUACUCAAAUCCAGUCAUCUCGAGUGUGGUGUGUUCACACACCCUGCUUUCUCUUCUCCGCUGCUCUAUCUACCCGACUUGGUCAGCAGUCUCAUGCAUUACUAACUCUGUCUGGAGACAGCAGCCCAGGUGAAGUAUGCCUUCUAGAAAAGUGAGAAAUUACAGUGCCAAAGACACAGCCCUCUGAGGUGACUUAGAAUCAACUGGGCCGAGAUUCUGCACUUCUAGCAAGCUGCCUUGUGAUCCUAUCAUAUUGCUGCUGGUCCAUGGAUCCAAGCAGAGGAAGCUUAAGAAGACUGUUGUGGACAACAGUAGAUAAGAACUCAUCUUACUUUUCAAAUAAGGCCCUUUUUCUCACAGGUUCUGCGGAAGAAGAAACAAUCAGAGAGAUAACUCUGUGAGUUUUCACAAUAAAUGCAAUCAGCAGCACAAUAAAUUAUACAUUUUCAUCAUCCCUAGUAUACCUCCAUGUCCUUUGUGGCCAACCAGUGAGACCCCUUGAUCUGUUUUCUGCAGAAUGUCAUAUAAAAGAAAUCACAGCAUUUCAAUGCAGUCUUUUGAUAAUGGUUUCUUUCAUUAACUACAGCAUUAAAGCUUUAUUCUUGGUUUAUGUAUUAUUAUCACUUCCUUUUUUCACUGAGUUGUAUUUGCUUAUAUUGAUAUAUCACAUCUUGCUUAUCUAUUCCA
Molecule: long non-coding RNA, 2458 nt
Organism: Heterocephalus glaber (naked mole-rat)
Lineage: Eukaryota; Metazoa; Chordata; Mammalia; Rodentia; Bathyergidae
Source: Ensembl